Molecule: ribosomal RNA, 314 nt
Filed under: uncultured bacterium
Lineage: Bacteria
Description: partial 16S ribosomal RNA
Rfam family: Bacterial small subunit ribosomal RNA
Source: RNAcentral
GUAUAAGAGACAGCAGCAGCCGCGGUAAUACAGAGGGUGCGAGCGUUAAUCGGAUUUACUGGGCGUAAAGCGUGCGUAGGCGGCUUUUUAAGUCGGAUGUGAAAUCCCUGAGCUUAACUUAGGAAUUGCAUUCGAUACUGGGAAGCUAGAGUAUGGGAGAGGAUGGUAGAAUUCCAGGUGUAGCGGUGAAAUGCGUAGAGAUCUGGAGGAAUACCGAUGGCGAAGGCAGCCAUCUGGCCUAAUACUGACGCUGAGGUACGAAAGCAUGGGGAGCAAACAGGAUUAGAGACCCCCGUAGUCCCUGUCUCUUAUAC